Molecule: long non-coding RNA, 573 nt
Filed under: Daphnia pulex (common water flea)
Lineage: Eukaryota; Metazoa; Arthropoda; Branchiopoda; Diplostraca; Daphniidae
Description: uncharacterized LOC124208306, transcript variant X1
Source: RNAcentral
ACUAUUUUGUUCAAACUCAUUGUAUUCUACUGAAUGUGCCAUAGAAAUGAUACAGGAUUUACCUUAAUUAUUGGCUGUAUACUUUGGAUUUGCUAGAUCACCAACCCCAGCAUGGACCAAUCUCUCAUUCCAUCCUCUAGAGAACCUUGGAUAACUGAUUGGUGGGCAGUCUAAUAUAUUUUAAAAAUCAUGGAUAUCAAGAACAUUGAUGGCACCAAUUAUAAACAAGACUUUAUGAGAACUCGUAUGUCAUUUCAAGAAAAAGGACAGGAUUAUGCAGUCAAUACGAUUCAUUGUUUGCUAACCGUUGGCUGCCACCAUUGAUUCUCCAUUUUUACUUCCUUAAACGGGCCCUCUUGAUUUGAGGGUAAUCCUUCGCUACUUAUCGUGGACUUCAUCCAUUGCUGAACACCGACGAGAGCAUGCAGUCAUUCAAGACUGAUGAAUUGUGUAGUUAGCAAAAUUACAAGUGCAUAUGUGGGCUCCCUUCUUUUCUGUGGCCCUGUUUCCCUAACUAACCACUAACCAACGCCCGCCGGUGGUCACUCACCCGCUGUGAAACCAGGAGGAGGG